This 93-nucleotide ribosomal RNA is filed under the name Rhytidium rugosum. RNAcentral's name for it is "5.8S ribosomal RNA". Lineage: Eukaryota; Viridiplantae; Streptophyta; Bryopsida; Hypnales; Rhytidiaceae. The record is from RNAcentral.
AACAACUCUGCAACGAACGGAUGAUCUUGGUCUGGCACGAUGAAGAACGCAGCGAUGGAUAAGUAAUGGAUUGCAGAAUUCCGGAAUCAUCGA